RNAcentral lists this ribosomal RNA (238 nucleotides) under uncultured bacterium. RNAcentral's name for it is "partial 16S ribosomal RNA". It matches the Rfam family "Bacterial small subunit ribosomal RNA", at positions 96 to 334 of the family's 1533-position model. The record is from RNAcentral.
CGGCGGACGGGUGAGUAACGCGUGGGUAACCUGCCUUACACUGGGGGAUAACAGUUAGAAAUGACUGCUAAUACCGCAUAAGCGCACAGGGCCGCAUGGUCUGGUGUGAAAAACUCCGGUGGUGUAAGAUGGACCCGCGUCUGAUUAGGUAGUUGGUGGGGUAAUGGCCCACCAAGGCGACGAUCAGUAGCCGGACUGAGAGGUUGGCCGGCCACAUUGGGACUGAGACACGGCCCAG